GGCUGGUCCAACAGUAGUGGGUUAUCAGAACUUACUAACAUUAGUGUCACUAAAGUUGGUAUACAACCCCCCACUGCUAAAUUUGACUGGCUUUAA
RNAcentral lists this Y RNA (96 nucleotides) under Aotus nancymaae (Ma's night monkey). Its description in RNAcentral is "Y RNA (ENSANAG00000004532.1)". It matches the Rfam family "Y RNA". Rfam says of the family: Y RNAs are components of the Ro ribonucleoprotein particle (Ro RNP), in association with Ro60 and La proteins. The record is from Rfam by way of RNAcentral. Lineage: Eukaryota; Metazoa; Chordata; Mammalia; Primates; Aotidae.